This 670-nucleotide ribosomal RNA is filed under the name Puccinia obscura. RNAcentral describes it as "eukaryotic LSU rRNA". The stretch from base 262 to 415 matches the Rfam family "5.8S ribosomal RNA". The record is from RNAcentral. Lineage: Eukaryota; Fungi; Basidiomycota; Pucciniomycetes; Pucciniales; Pucciniaceae.
GGAAGUAAAAGUCGUAACAAGGUUUCUGUAGGUGAACCUGCAGAAGGAUCAUUAUUUAUAAAAAUGGAGUGCACUUAAUUGUGGCUCUGAUCUUUUUAUAUCAUCUUACCCCAAAACUUGUUUGUGUGACAUCUUUAGGUGUCAUUGCACUCAGGUAUACGUAACAGUUCUGUUACAUUACCCCCCCCACCCCAAUUUUUUUAUUUUUUUUUAUCAACACAAGUUUAAAUUAAGAAUGUAAACAUUUUAAAUUAUGAAAAUAACUUUUAACAAUGGAUCUCUAGGCUCUCAUAUCGAUGAAGAACACAGUGAAAUGUGAUAAGUAAUGUGAAUUGCAGAAUUCAGUGAAUCAUUGAAUCUUUGAACGCACCUUGCACCUUUUGGUAUUCCAAAAGGUACACCUGUUUGAGUGUCAUGAAAAUCUCUCAUCAAAUUAAUUUUUGGUGGAUGUUGAGUGCUGCUGUUAUCUAGCUCACUUUAAAUAUAUAAGUCUUUUUCUAAUUAUGUUGGAUUGACUUGGUGUAAUAAUUAUUUUGAUCAUCAAGGAAAGUAGCAAUACUUGCCAAUGUUUUGGACAAAGGACUCCUAAAUUGAUAUUAUAUUUUUAUUUUUAAGACCUCAAAUCAGGUGGGACUACCUGCUGAACUUAAGCAUAUCAAUAAGCGGAGGA